RNAcentral lists this transfer RNA (74 nucleotides) under Enterococcus faecalis. Its description in RNAcentral is "tRNA-Met". It matches the Rfam family "tRNA". Rfam says of the family: Transfer RNA (tRNA) molecules are approximately 80 nucleotides in length. Their secondary structure includes four short double-helical elements and three loops (D, anti-codon, and T loops). Lineage: Bacteria; Bacillati; Bacillota; Bacilli; Lactobacillales; Enterococcaceae. The record is from RNAcentral.
GGACCAUUAGCUCAGCUGGUUAGAGCAAACGGCUCAUAACCGUUCGACCACAGGUUCGAGUCCUGUAUGGUCCA